UACGGGGGGAGCAAGCGUUGUUCGGAUUUACUGGGCGUAAAGGGCGCGUAGGCGGCGUGACAAGUCACUUGUGAAAUCUCCGGGCUUAACUCGGAACGGUCAAGUGAUACUGUCGUGCUAGAGUACAGAAGGGGCAACUGGAAUUCUCGGUGUAGCGGUGAAAUGCGUAGAUAUUCGGAAGAACACCAGUGGCGAAGGCGGCUCACUGGACUGGUAUUGACGCUGAGGUGCGAAAGCGUGGGGAGCAACAGGG
Molecule: ribosomal RNA, 253 nt
Filed under: uncultured bacterium
Lineage: Bacteria
Description: partial 16S ribosomal RNA
Rfam family: Bacterial small subunit ribosomal RNA
Source: RNAcentral